GCGGAGAUCGCCUAGCCUGGCAGGGCGUGGGAUUGCUAAUCCCAUGACUUUCGGGUCUCGGGGGUUCAAAUCCCCCUCUCCGCGCCA
This 87-nucleotide transfer RNA is filed under the name Pseudomonadota bacterium. Its description in RNAcentral is "tRNA-Ser". It matches the Rfam family "tRNA". From Rfam's summary of the family: Transfer RNA (tRNA) molecules are approximately 80 nucleotides in length. The record is from RNAcentral. RNAcentral also lists the same sequence under 1 other name. Lineage: Bacteria; Pseudomonadati; Pseudomonadota.